GUUCCAGACUCCUACGGGAGGCAGCAGUGGGGGAUAUUGCACAAUGGGGGGAACCCUGAUGCAGCGACGCCGCGUGGGCGAGGGAGCGCCUCGGCGCGUAAAGCCCUUUCGGCGGGGGAGAACGAUGACGGUACCCGACGAAGAAGCACCGGCUAAAUACGUGCCAGCAGCCGCGGUAAUACGGAGGGGGCAAGCGUUACUCGGAAUCACUGGGCGUAAAGAGCGCGUAGGCGGGAUAGCAAGUCAGAUGUGAAAUCCUAUGGCUUAACCAUAGAACUGCAUUUGAAACUGUUAUUCUAGAGUAUGGGAGAGGUAGGUGGAAUUCUUGGUGUAGGGGUAAAAUCCGUAGAGAUCAAGAGGAAUACUCAUUGCGAAGGCGACCUGCUAGAACAUAACUGACGCUGAUGCGCGAAAGCGUGGGGAGCAAACAGGAUUAGAUACCCCUGUAA
Molecule: ribosomal RNA, 449 nt
Filed under: uncultured bacterium
Lineage: Bacteria
Description: bacterial SSU rRNA
Rfam family: Bacterial small subunit ribosomal RNA
Source: RNAcentral